UGGCCGGGACGCCAGAGCUCCUCUCCGGUGACGGUGUGAGGGCCGACGUUUGCUGGAGCUUCGCGCCCGGGCCCUGCAUUUUUCUCCGAGGUGCUUUGUAAAAGGGACUAUUCCUUCAUCUCGGGGAAAUUUUGCAUCAUGGCUCCCCUUUCUGCUUUUCACGGGCAUCGUCUGCCCUCUCCAUGAGACGAACUUCCGAAGCCCCCUCGCUCUCGGCUCGGAGUCCGAACACGAAUGAGUUUGGGGAUUUCGGAGACCCUGUCCCGCUUCUAGCUGAAUUGGGGUGUCCCCUGACUACCGCACACUUGGGCAAACUUCUCCAUAAACGGACCAGGGAACGCAGCCCCCGAGAAAGGAUUCUUCACGGCCGCUGCCCCCAGCUUUCGAGACUGCGCCUCUUAUUCCCCAGAAAACCUCGUUUGGGAUAAUGUCUCGCCAUUCCCACCUCACCAUCCCCAGUUCUGAAUCUUCCUUAGGCGAAGGUCAUCUCCGAGAAUGCGACUUCGGUGUUGACGUCAUUUUAGCUGCCGCAUCACUUACACGGUGCACCUCUUGUCUGUCCCAGAGGAUGGCAGCGAUUUAAGAGUUGUCUCCCUGGCCACAAGCCCCUGGCUCCCACCCCAUGAUGGCUUCUCCAGCUUUGUUUUUUUCUUUAAUAGAUGAAGAAAGAGAUCCAAGCAAAACAGCUGUGGCAGCAGUCAAGAAAGCUUGAGCAGCCCAUGUUUGAGAGAGGAACCCCUGCACAGCCUUAGAGAAGACCUUGAAGAGACGAUGUCAGAGAAGGAGGUUUGUGAGGACCCAGGACAGAGUGUGAUAACUGGAGAUUUCAUAACACUGCUCAGAACGGUGCACAAUUUGAAACUUAUGAAUUGUUUAUUUCUGGAAUUUUCCACUUAAUAUUUUUGGACCUCAUUGACUGCACGUAACUGAAACCGCAGAAAGGGAAACCGCUUUAUGGCAACAUCAUGUUGCCAGUACAAACGUUCACUGCAGCAGGCCAUGAAAGGAAAGGCUGAGAGAUGAGGCUAUGUAAUAUUAGCAAUGUCUGCCUGUCAAAAAAUCAUUAAAAUAUUUAAAAGGCAAACUGGAAAAAUAUUCAUUAUGUGUGACAAGAGUUCUUACAAAUGAAGAAGAAAAUUUAAUAGGCUUGAAUGGAGAACUCCUAAAAGAAAUUGUCACUAAAUCUAUGGAAAAAAUAUUCUCAGCUUCACACUAAAAAGUUAAAAUGGGGGCCGGCCCCGUGGCUGAGUGGUUAAGUUCGCGCGCUCCACUGCAG
This 1276-nucleotide long non-coding RNA is filed under the name Equus asinus (donkey). Its description in RNAcentral is "lncRNA (ENSEASG00005033673.1)". The record is from RNAcentral. Lineage: Eukaryota; Metazoa; Chordata; Mammalia; Perissodactyla; Equidae.